AAGGGAGACCUAAUUCGGGUAGGAGACGAAAAAAAAGUAGUCCCUACCAAGAAUCAAUCCCAAAAGGUCGGAACGAGGUAUGUGGCUUUCAAACUAGGUUCUGGGUUCAUAAAAGACCUGAAUCAGGAACAAGGGCUAUUAGCUCAGGUGGUUAGAGCGCACCCCUGAUAAGGGUGAGGUCCCUGGUUCGAGUCCAGGAUGGCCCACCUGCACAGGUGGCAAAAACAAGAGAAACGAGGAAUCAGCACCUUAUCUUACUUAUAUAGUAGGAGAGAAUGCUGGCUCUGAGUAAAGAGUCCAGAGGAACCUUGAAAACUGCAUAGAGCUAGGUGAAAAAGCCAAAAAAGAAGACCGCAAGGUCAAGCUAAUAAGGGCUAACGGUGGAUACCUAGGCAC
Molecule: transfer RNA, 396 nt
Filed under: uncultured Microcystis sp.
Lineage: Bacteria; Bacillati; Cyanobacteriota; Cyanophyceae; Chroococcales; Microcystaceae
Description: partial contains 16S-23S ribosomal RNA intergenic spacer, and 23S ribosomal RNA
Rfam family: tRNA (bases 133-206)
Source: RNAcentral